Molecule: ribosomal RNA, 767 nt
Filed under: Mycobacterium sp. Iso-19
Lineage: Bacteria; Bacillati; Actinomycetota; Actinomycetes; Mycobacteriales; Mycobacteriaceae
Description: bacterial SSU rRNA
Rfam family: Bacterial small subunit ribosomal RNA
Source: RNAcentral
CAUGCAGUCGAACGGAAAGGCCCUUCGGGGUACUCGAGUGGCGAACGGGUGAGUAACACGUGGGUGAUCUGCCCUGCACUUUGGGAUAAGCCUGGGAAACUGGGUCUAAUACCGAAUAGGACCGCGCUCUUCAUGGGGUGUGGUGGAAAGCUUUUGCGGUGUGGGAUGGGCCCGCGGCCUAUCAGCUUGUUGGUGGGGUAAUGGCCUACCAAGGCGACGACGGGUAGCCGGCCUGAGAGGGUGACCGGCCACACUGGGACUGAGAUACGGCCCAGACUCCUACGGGAGGCAGCAGUGGGGAAUAUUGCACAAUGGGCGCAAGCCUGAUGCAGCGACGCCGCGUGAGGGAUGACGGCCUUCGGGUUGUAAACCUCUUUCAAUAGGGACGAAGCGCAAGUGACGGUACCUAUAGAAGAAGGACCGGCCAACUACGUGCCAGCAGCCGCGGUAAUACGUAGGGUCCGAGCGUUGUCCGGAAUUACUGGGCGUAAAGAGCUCGUAGGUGGUUUGUCGCGUUGUUCGUGAAAACUCACAGCUUAACUGUGGGCGUGCGGGCGAUACGGGCAGACUAGAGUACUGCAGGGGAGACUGGAAUUCCUGGUGUAGCGGUGGAAUGCGCAGAUAUCAGGAGGAACACCGGUGGCGAAGGCGGGUCUCUGGGCAGUAACUGACGCUGAGGAGCGAAAGCGUGGGGAGCGAACAGGAUUAGAUACCCUGGUAGUCCACGCCGUAAACGGUGGGUACUAGGUGUGGGUUUCCUUCCUUGG